UGCGUAGGCGGGUUUCUAAGUCAGAGGUGAAAGCCUGGAGCUCAACUCCAGAACUGCCUUUGAUACUGGAAGUCUUGAGUAUGGCAGAGGUGAGUGGAACUGCGAGUGUAGAGGUGAAAUUCGUAGAUAUUCGCAAGAACACCAGUGGCGAAGGCGGCUCACUGGGCCAUUACUGACGCUGAGGCUCGAAAGCGCGGGUAGCAAACA
This 207-nucleotide ribosomal RNA is filed under the name uncultured bacterium. RNAcentral's name for it is "partial 16S ribosomal RNA". It matches the Rfam family "Bacterial small subunit ribosomal RNA", at positions 568 to 774 of the family's 1533-position model. The record is from RNAcentral.